Molecule: long non-coding RNA, 223 nt
Filed under: Elaeis guineensis (African oil palm)
Lineage: Eukaryota; Viridiplantae; Streptophyta; Magnoliopsida; Arecales; Arecaceae
Description: long non-coding RNA (EGUI_LNC021538)
Source: RNAcentral
AUACCACUUUGAUCUCUUUCUUUUUCUCCUUCAUUUUUUUAUUAAUUAUUUUUUUAUUUAUCUUUUAAUACUCCACCUCAAUUCCAUUCAUCCAUCUCUUAUAUUUAAGAAUGCGGAUUUUCUGCUGUAUACCGUUUGGUGUGGUGCACAGCACACACCAUCCAUCGCAUGAUGGAUGGUCGCAUGGAGCCUCUAUGUGAUGCACGAUGCGCAUGGCCGCGUA